GGAUGAACGCUGGCGGCGUGCCUAAUACAUGCAAGUCGAGCGAACGGACGAGAAGCUUGCUUCUCUGAUGUUAGCGGCGGACGGGUGAGUAACACGUGGAUAACCUACCUAUAAGACUGGGAUAACUUCGGGAAACCGGAGCUAAUACCGGAUAAUAUUUUGAACCGCAUGGUUCAACAGUGAAAGACGGUCUUGCUGUCACUUAUAGAUGGAUCCGCGCUGCAUUAGCUAGUUGGUAAGGUAACGGCUUACCAAGGCAACGAUGCAUAGCCGACCUGAGAGGGUGAUCGGCCACACUGGAACUGAGACACGGUCCAGACUCCGACGGGAGGCAGCAGUAGGGAAUCUUACGCAAUGGGCGAAAGCCUGACGGAGCAACGCCGCGUGAGUGAUGAAGGUCUUCGGAUCGUAAAACUCUGUUAUUAGGGAAGAACAUAUGUGUAAGUAACUGUGCACAUCUUGACGGUACCUAAACAGAAAGCCACGGCUAACUACGUG
This 498-nucleotide ribosomal RNA is filed under the name uncultured bacterium. RNAcentral describes it as "partial 16S ribosomal RNA". It matches the Rfam family "Bacterial small subunit ribosomal RNA", at positions 27 to 507 of the family's 1533-position model. The record is from RNAcentral.